Long non-coding RNA from Tachysurus fulvidraco (yellow catfish), 748 nucleotides. RefSeq lists it as uncharacterized. The transcript is spliced from 2 exons. Lineage: Eukaryota; Metazoa; Chordata; Actinopteri; Siluriformes; Bagridae. The record is from RefSeq and is a predicted model, not a curated record.
GAGAGAGAGAGAGAGAGAGAGAGAGAGAGAGAGAGAGAGAGAGAGAGAGAGAGAGAGAGAAAUAAAUGAAUUGUUAUUGAACAUCAUUGAAGCUUGUAGACUGAAGAUACAAGUUUGAUCUUGAGUGUUUAGUGAUAAUUGCACUGCAGCUGUGGCCGGAGGAGACAACAAAAAGCCCAGAGUUAAUCAUGAUGAUGUUAAAUUGAGCUCUAAAGGUUGAAUUAAGUCUGAGCUCAUCCUGUUAACUCUUUGUGUCCAGGUGGAUUUUGAAUUCCCAGAAACGAAGGUACAGACGUGUAACAUUUAAGAAGCGACAGAGUUUUCUGAGCCAAAAGCCAGAUUGAAGCAUGCAUGAAUUAUCCGCUUUAACCUCAAACCACCGGACAAUGAGAAGACACAUUUCUCAAAUGCCUCUGGUUAGAAGGCUUGAACGGUGUCAUUACCUCAGAGGUUCAUUGCUGAGGAAAUUGACUGUUUUGGAAUGCAUCAGUAAAUUAAAGGGCCGUCGCUGAUCUCCUUUGAACCGAAUUGGUGUGGGGCUGUCAUCAUGACAUUUCCUCUCCAGGGAGACUGACCAAUCUGCUCGCUUUACAGUGCGGACGGAUACUGAGUCAUCGGACCUGACCGAACCGGAGUCGAGGCAGGUUCAUUUGCACUGUUUGAGAGACUGAACAGGGACAAACAUGAGAUUAGUGUAUGUGGUAUAUCAUGUAAUGCUGAUAUUCAACAUGUGAAAUAUUCCUUCUGA